Molecule: long non-coding RNA, 2674 nt
Organism: Eriocheir sinensis (Chinese mitten crab)
Lineage: Eukaryota; Metazoa; Arthropoda; Malacostraca; Decapoda; Varunidae
Exons: 2
Source: RefSeq, a predicted model, not a curated record
AUAUAUAUAUAUAUAUAUAUAUAUAUAUAUAUAUAUAUAUAUAUAUAUAUAUAUAUAUAUAUAUAUAUAUAUAUGCAUCAGUGUCCUCAAACGUCGUUUUCAAUUGUCUCUGGCAGCAGCAGAGAGUAGCACGACAUUGUUUUUUUCUCAUCCACACAUGCACAUAACAUACGCCAUUCCCUUAUAUGUAUAUUUUUGAUUGAUAAAAGUUAAUAUUUUUUUCGGGCAUCAGUCUUAUUUUCACUGCACUGUGUUUGCCAUUUUUUCCCUUGGACUGCCUCUCUGGACCUCUAAGGUAUACACACACACAUACAAAGAAGAGGCUGUAUGGUGGCGUUCAGCAUACACGAUCUUCCUAGAGUCGGCAUGAGUAGUGUUCCGUAGGGUCGCUCCUGGCCACCUCGAGUCGUUACCAAACACUGUAACCGUAAUACUAAGACUACUACUCCUAGCCACGUAACGCAGCGCUGUGCCGGCGGAACGGCUCGCCCUACAGCGGUCACUCGGUUAUCCGGAACGGCGGCUCGGCAGCUCCAGGCGCGUCUCGUGGCUUCCUGGUGGUGCACUGGUUCAUUCAUUGAUAAUGCUAGUCGGCACACCGAGGAAGGGCGCCGACAGCAGGGCUUGGCAGCCCGCACCACGUGGCGCCGCGGCCGUGCACCCGCGGCCGCCUAACGAAAACCUUCCUGCCGCGGCCUGACCGCUGCGUCACGGAGCCACUCUACUCUCAGUGGGGAGAACAAUCUCCAAAGCUGCUUGACAAUGUUUGUUAUACAACCUUGUUCACAUUUAACAGAAAAUAGUCGCAGCAGAAAAAAAGGGGUGGAGACAAAACAGGUGGAGAUCAAUUUCAGAAUGAGCAUAAUGACCUCACCACUGCCAUCAGCAUCUCCUCAGCUUCCCUCCCGCGCCGUGACGAUCAGCUAACACGUACAAAUGUUUUAUGUAAUUUUUGAGGCGGGUCCAGACGGUAAGGAGACGAAAAGUGCUGAAUUCUGCGCCUUAGAGAGAACUCCGAAACAGCGAGGUUAAUUCCAGGAUAAUAAAUAAUAAUUUCCCUUUUGAGAGAAGUCAUAGAAGCAAUAGGAACGGAAUGUUUCACACUUCUUUGGCAGGUUGCCUGUUGGCGAUAGGCGGAGAAACAGGACGUGAGGCACUCCACAGGUCAGCCAGUGUUCUGCCUCCCUGAUCAGUAACGGCUUGGCAGUGCGGGGAAGGCGUUCGUUGUUAGCCCACAGUAGGUGUACAGUAUUACUUCCGAGUUUAGUUUUCCUUUUGUUGGUAAGGAGAAGCCGAGUUCAAUUAACAGAGUGACCUUUGUAAAGAAUUGUUGCAUUACAUUAGGGUUACAAAUUACAAAUUAUAUACCUACGUUACGAUAUCGACGCUGAGGGACGUUCGUGAAGCAUCGGACGUUGUAUACUAGUCACGAGUUUAUAUUUUAUCAGCAACGGAGUUUAUGGCUGAUUCUAAAUGACAGGACCGCAUUGUUCUGAGGAAGUCUCGACUUUCAUUAAGAUUAAUCUUCCCCGUCUGCCUGACAACCUGAGGGAUUACAGUGUAGCCCCUCUGAACUAUAAAAGUAACCCAGCCCCGACAGGUGGAAGGCGAGAGUCGACACUUUACUCAGAUGAAGUCCUAUUGCUCAGGACGGCCCGUAUUAUUUGUGUCCAUGAGGCUGACAAUCAGAGGCUGCCAGGGCCCGCGCGCUCACCCUGACCCGCACCUCUACGUAGAGGCGCAGGUUGGGGUCAGCGCGGGUUCAGUGUUUACGUGAGCAGUUUCCAGUUUCCCGGGUAUGCCGCCGUGUUAGUGUUGCAUCUUCAAGCGUGUGGGUGCACGAGAUCAGAUGAAGUGCUAUUCUGUGGUAUACAAUUUCAGGACAGGCUGUGCUCACCAAGGGGAGAGGAGUGUGGCCAACGCAGGGCAUUCAUUCAACAAAAAGAAAAACAUAUUUGUAUGGGGUAGACUCACAAUUCAUCCGUCACGCGAGUCUGUGACCGUGAAUGAUCCGAGGAAAAUUUUCUUAACGAAUAUGGUGAGUCAAGAAAAGGAAUGUCCUCUUUAGUCGAGUAGAUUCUGGAGGACAUUAUUUUCUUACUCUCCUCCAUAUUUAUUCAAGAAAAACUUUGCCACACCAUUAACGGUUAUAAACUCGCGUAUAGAUGAAUUGUGUUAGUCUAGAGCGAAUACAAAUAAUGUAAGUAAACGAAUGAGAUGUUCUCUAUUCUCCUCUGCAGUGUACGUAAAUGCAGCUUUUGGUUGAAUAGUUAUGACUGAAGUAAAAUUGUGGUAUACCAGUUAAGGAUAGGCUGAUAGGAGUCUGGACAAUAGACGACUUUAUUCACUACAGAAAAAUUUACUUGUACAGGCUAGACUAUAGUUCUACAGACGAAUGUUCACCGACUACGUGAGUUUGACCGUAAGUGAUCUGAGGAUGUCCCUCGGAUCAUUCACGGUCAAACUCACGUAGUCAGUGAAUGAUCCGUGGAAUAGUCUGGCCCGUUGAAGUGAGUGAAUAAGUUUACAUAGUCCAGACUACUGUUCCGACUGCGCCGUGUAUGUAAACGCAGGUUUUUGGUUGAAUAAUUCAUUUACUGUUCUGUGUCACUACUAAUUGUAGGUUUUGUAAAUGCUGUGUUUGUUGUAAAGUCCAUUAAAAUUUAUCAUCGCA